Molecule: unclassified non-coding RNA, 650 nt
Filed under: Hevea brasiliensis (rubber tree)
Lineage: Eukaryota; Viridiplantae; Streptophyta; Magnoliopsida; Malpighiales; Euphorbiaceae
Source: RNAcentral
AAAAAAAAAAAAAAAAGAAAACACCGUGAAGUCCCUUCAUAACUAGAGUUUCUUUUAUCCUUUUAGCUGCAUAUUUUGUUUGCUUCGAAAUCUAUACAUCUCUUUUUCCUUCCAGGGAUAGAAGCUUCCUCUAGUGAAACCAAACAAAUCUCUCUGUAGGUUUUAAAUUGCCUCAUUUUCAUCCAUAUACAUAACACAAUCUAAUGUCACUGUACAGUUUUAAAAAGUCAUAACAAUAGUAUUAAGAAAUUACGAACCAAGUACCCAUUUGGCAUUAUGGUGGGAAAGUUAAAACUUCUUUUCAGAUAAAGAAUAUCAUUUUAGAUGUUAGUAGUUUGUAAAAAGUUAUUUUAUAAUUUUAAUAUUAAAUUAUUUAUGAAUAUUCUUGGGCUAAUAUAUUUAAAAAAUAUAUAUAUUUUUCUUAAUAGUAAUUCUAAAAACAAUGCCAAACACAGGUAAUACAGCUUGCAGGAAAAUAGCCUACAGUGGUGGGUUGAAAAAAAGCUUUUAUUUUCACCUGAAUAGAAAACAGUUGAACAAGAAAUUAGUGUUGGUAUAGGUAUGUAAUGAUAUAUUUGGCCAAAUAUAAUUGUAUGAGGAAAUUAUAGAAACACAGCAAAUUGUUAUGAAAAAAAAUAAUCCAAAAGAAU